Molecule: long non-coding RNA, 1372 nt
Organism: Daphnia magna
Lineage: Eukaryota; Metazoa; Arthropoda; Branchiopoda; Diplostraca; Daphniidae
Exons: 2
Source: RefSeq, a predicted model, not a curated record
CGUCAGGUUGCGUUAGAAACUGUAGGAUACGAGCCGUCUGUGAAUCUGUGACCGAUGAAAUCUGUGUUUUGUAUCGUGCUUCGUCGUGCUUUCUGCUGCUGGAUGUCAAGAAAUUUCUUAGUUCUAGAACGUGUCCACGAUGCACAUUUUACAACCAGGCCACCGAAUAUGGAUUAAGUUUCAUGUCUCGUAAAUUGAUAGAUGGGUUUGAGUGAUGUGUCUUCAAUACCAUACUCGAAGUCAUAAGAUAUAUUUAAAAUUUUUUUUUUACAGAUUGGAUCACAUAAAGAUCAUAGAGAUGUUCCGUGCCAUAUGGUCUGCAGUUUUAUCUCAUGGUGUUUGUUGCAUCGAGCCAUUUGAGAUGUAAAGCUGUUAGCUGUUAGCUGUAAAUAAAAUUCAUCCCUAUUUAAGUACUGGGUGAUAAAUGUGCAUUCAGAGACAGGAUUUCUGUACCUCAAUGACUUCUCCCAAAAUAUUAUGAUGAAAAAUAACUUUAAAAGUUUUCCUAUUGAACCCACAGUUUGAACAGUGGAACCUGUUGCAAUUAAUCUUAUUUCCAACAAAAUAGUUCAUUGUCGUAGAUUUCUACUAUACUCAAGAUAUGGUUGAAUUGAUUGCUGACCCGGUUUUCCUCCUUGAGCAUUCAUAACUGCUACAUGUCAAUUUGGGAGUCUUAUCAGUUCCUUUUAUAUCCAUCAUCUAAUCCAGGUUGGUUAGAAGAGCAUAAGAAAUACUAUUAGAGCAAUCCUUAGGAUAAAUGACUAAUUUCCUUCCAGGACAAUCUUAUACAAGUUAAAGAAAGAAUUGUUUUGUAAUAUUUUCAUUCUGGUUUUUGUAGAGCACAGCAAAUAAAAAAACAAGUAAUAAAUUCUACAAUUGAUACAUAGGCACAGUAUGAAUUUCAAGUACUGCCUCGCUGUAAGCUGCAGCUUUUGUUAAUGUAUUCCAUAUCGCAACAGCCACACCUCUGAUUCUUGUUUUCCCUCUUGCGUGAAAAGUAGAAUGCGAUAAAAGUCGGUAGUUACUGAAAGCUUUUUUUCUUCGAGCAACGGUUUUAAGUAUUUCAAUCCUACCUCGGCUCAUCUCAUAAUUUACCGUCAAUUCGUCUCAUCUCCCAGUUCAGUGAAACUUGAUUCGGGUUUGUUCAUCAUGGUUUUGUUUAUUAUUAUUUGGGUGGAUGUUAUACGAAUUGGAAAAGCAAUUGCCGGAAACUAAGAUGGACGACAAGAAGUCAUGGAUCGUAAAACAACCAGAUUAGUGAGAUUACCAGCUAUGAUUGUCUAAUCAUAAUGAAAGCAUUCAUCCUCUGCGUUGGUAACUGCACCAUAAAUAUAAAAUGUGGAGAUUGGUCAAUACAAAAUUUUAAAAUCAU